AGGGCUGUAACCACUAAAGGCUUAU
RNAcentral lists this non-coding RNA (25 nucleotides) under Cricetulus griseus (Chinese hamster). The record is from RNAcentral. Lineage: Eukaryota; Metazoa; Chordata; Mammalia; Rodentia; Cricetidae.